This 168-nucleotide microRNA precursor is filed under the name Schistosoma mansoni. Its description in RNAcentral is "microRNA sma-mir-1b precursor". Its record names the gene sma-mir-1b. Lineage: Eukaryota; Metazoa; Platyhelminthes; Trematoda; Strigeidida; Schistosomatidae. The record is from miRBase by way of RNAcentral.
UUAUACUUAUUGUAAUUUCUUCUAGUCUUUGCAUACUUCCCAAUAGGCCAUAGAGUAAUUUAAUACUCUACUAGUUUUUUAUUAGAAAAAAAGAAUGAAAAACUAGUACUGAGUAACUUAUGGAAUGUUGUGAAGUAUGUGCUCGACUGGGACCAGUCUGCAAAUGAG